This 74-nucleotide transfer RNA is filed under the name Candidatus Sungbacteria bacterium RIFCSPHIGHO2_02_FULL_47_11. RNAcentral describes it as "tRNA-Arg". It matches the Rfam family "tRNA". From Rfam's summary of the family: Transfer RNA (tRNA) molecules are approximately 80 nucleotides in length. Their secondary structure includes four short double-helical elements and three loops (D, anti-codon, and T loops). The record is from RNAcentral. Lineage: Bacteria; Candidatus Sungiibacteriota.
GCCCCCGUAGUUCAACCGGAUAGAACAUCGGCCUCCGAAGCCGAAGAUUGGCAGUUCGAAUCUGCCCGGGGGUA